UACGUAGGGCGCAAGCGUUGUCCGGAAUUAUUGGGCGUAAAGAGCUCGUAGGCGGCUUGUCACGUCGGGUGUGAAAGCCCGGGGCUUAACCCCCGGGUCUGCAUUCGAUACGGGCUAGCUAGAGUGUGGUAGGGGGAGAUCGGAAUUCCUGGUGUAGCGGUGAAAUGCGCAGAUAUCAGGAGGAACACCGGUGGCGAAGGCGGAUCUCUGGGCCAUUACUGACGCUGAGGAGCGAAAGCGUGGGGAGCGAACAGG
This 255-nucleotide ribosomal RNA is filed under the name uncultured bacterium. Its description in RNAcentral is "partial 16S ribosomal RNA". It matches the Rfam family "Bacterial small subunit ribosomal RNA", at positions 524 to 776 of the family's 1533-position model. The record is from RNAcentral.